This 451-nucleotide long non-coding RNA is filed under the name Sus scrofa (pig). RNAcentral describes it as "lncRNA (ENSSSCG00070025073.1)". Lineage: Eukaryota; Metazoa; Chordata; Mammalia; Artiodactyla; Suidae. The record is from RNAcentral.
GAUGCAGGUGGGGGUGUGAGAGGGGAUGGUGGCGAGCUCGGUGCACGGGUGCGUGUGCCAGGCUGCUGGGAGUGAGCGCGAGGCUGUGUGUCACAGCUGUUGUUCACUGAGACCGAGCUAACAUCAGCUCAGUCCACAGCUACCUGUGAAGGAAGACGGCCGCACCAGGAGACACCUGUUUGAGCUGGUGGGUGGACCUCCUGGCUCCUGACUGCUCUGUUCUCGAUGUGCCUUGGAAGGGUCUUUGAGUGCAAGCUCCUUCUGGGGAGAUGGCCGUGUCUGGCCCACGUCUUCAGGUGCUCACAGGACUGUGAGGAAUUUGCAAAUCCAGGUUUAAGGUUUGGGAAGCGAGGCUUUGUGACCUGCCUGCCUGUCUCAGCGUCUUGCGGUUCUCACAGGUAAGAGCGCUUUUGUUCUUUGGUGCUGGUGCUGGUGGCUCUGCAUUAAGGGG